GGUUAUAACCUCUCGAUUGACUUACCGCAGAGAAGCACGGGUAAUUCGUGCCAGCAGCCCCGUAAUAGGAGGGUGCCAGCGUAAUUGGAUUACUGGCGUAAAGCGCACGCAGGCGGUCUGUCAAGUUGGAUUUGAAAUCCCCCGGCUCAACCUGGGAACUGCAUUCGAAACUGGCAGGCUAGAGUCUUGUAGAGGGGGGUAGAAUUCCAGGUGUAGCGAUGAAAUGCGUAGAGAUCUGGAGGAAUACCGGUGGCGAAGGCGGCCCCCUGGACAAAGACUGACGCUCAGGUGCGAAAGCGUGGGGAGCAAACAGGAUUAGAUACCCUGGUAGUCCACGCUGUAAACGAUGUCGAUUUGGAGGUUGUGCCCAUGAGGCGUGGCUUCCGGAGCUAACGCGUUAAAUCGACCGCCUGGGGAGUACGGCCGCAAGGUUAAAACUCAAAUGAAUUGACGGGGGCCCGCACAAGCGGUGGAGCAUGUGGUUUAAUUCGAUGCAACGCGAAGAACCUUACCUGGUCUUGACAUCCACAGAACUUUCCAGAGAUGGAUUGGUGCCUUCGGGAACUGUGAGACAGGUGCUGCAUGGCUGUCGUCAGCUCGUGUUGUGAAAUGUUGGGUUAAGUCCCGCAACGAGCGCAACCCUUAUCCUUUGUUGCCAGCGGUUAGGCCGGGAACUCAAAGGAGACUGCCAGUGAUAAACUGGAGGAAGGUGGGGAUGACGUCAAGUCAUCAUGGCCCUUACGACCAGGGCUACACACGUGCUACAAUGGCAUAUACAAAGAGAAGCGACCUCGCGAGAGCAAGCGGACCUCAUAAAGUAUGUCGUAGUCCGGAUUGGAGUCUGCAACUCGACUCCAUGAAGUCGGAAUCGCUAGUAAUCGUAGAUCAGAAUGCUACGGUGAAUACGUUCCCGGGCCUUGUACACACCGCCCGUCACACCAUGGGAGUGGGUUGCAAAAGAAGUAGGUAGCUUAACCUUCGGGAGGGCGGUU
Molecule: ribosomal RNA, 992 nt
Filed under: Klebsiella variicola
Lineage: Bacteria; Pseudomonadati; Pseudomonadota; Gammaproteobacteria; Enterobacterales; Enterobacteriaceae
Description: bacterial SSU rRNA
Rfam family: Bacterial small subunit ribosomal RNA
Source: RNAcentral